GCAUAGCCCCGAUUGAAGCGGCAUCCUUUUGCGAAACGCAGUGAAGCAAAAGAUACAGCGGAAAGCGGGAAACAGC
This 76-nucleotide small RNA is filed under the name Flavobacterium caeni. RNAcentral's name for it is "Flavo-1 RNA". It matches the Rfam family "Flavo-1 RNA". Lineage: Bacteria; Pseudomonadati; Bacteroidota; Flavobacteriia; Flavobacteriales; Flavobacteriaceae. The record is from Rfam by way of RNAcentral.